Molecule: ribosomal RNA, 483 nt
Filed under: uncultured bacterium
Lineage: Bacteria
Description: bacterial SSU rRNA
Rfam family: Bacterial small subunit ribosomal RNA
Source: RNAcentral
AUGAACGCUAGCGGCGAGGCUUACACAUGCAAGUCGAGGGGCAGCGAGGGUAGCAAUACCUGUCGGCGACCGGCGGAAGGGUGAGUAACGCGUGAGCAACAUACCCGUAUCAGUGGGAUAAUACAGGGAAACUUGUUCUAAUAUCGCAUAAUAUUAUUCAGAGGCAUCUUUGGAUAAUUAAAGUUACGGCGGAUACGGAAUGGCUCGCGUGACAUUAGCUAGAUGGUAGGGUAAUGGCCUACCAUGGCGAUGAUGUCUAGGGGUUCUGAGAGGGAGGUCCCCCACACUGGAACUGAGACACGGUCCAGACUCCUACGGGAGGCAGCAGUGAGGAAUAUUGGACAAUGGAUGGAAAUCUGAUCCAGCCAUGCCGCGUGUAGGAAGGCGGCCCUAUGGGUUGUAAACUGCUUUUGUACGGGAGCAAUAAGGUCUACGAGUAGAUUGAUGAGAGUACUGUACGAAUAAGCAUCGGCUAACUCCGUG